RNAcentral lists this long non-coding RNA (757 nucleotides) under Homo sapiens (human). RNAcentral's name for it is "HSALNT0400033". Lineage: Eukaryota; Metazoa; Chordata; Mammalia; Primates; Hominidae. The record is from RNAcentral.
AUGUGCAACCGUGGGCAGAGGCCGGGCUGAUGGGUCUACAAGCCCAGGAAAGUCCGAGAUUGCCAGCAAAACACCAGAAGCUGGGGGGAGGCAUGGAGUGGGUUCUUAGAAGGAACCCACCCUGCAACACCUACAUCUCAGACUUCAGCCUCUGAAACUGUGAGACAUAAAAUUUUCGUGCUUUAACCCACCCAGUUUGUAGAAUUUGUUACACAGCCAUGGCAAACAAAUGCACCCAAUGUCUAAAAGUCCUUUGAUUAACGACUCACAGUUAUCCUUUGAAAAUUCCCAGAAUAAAAUGCAAAUGUCAAGACUCACAGGAGUCAAGAUUCAAACCUUUUGUGUAUUUUAAGCAUCCACAUUUCACUCUUUUUGUUAAAAUAAGAAGAACCAUUCCAGGUCCAACUGUCUUCUGCAGACCUUCUGUGUGGAAUCUUUUCCUGGAGUUGGAAUAGCAGACUUGGGGAUGGUGCUGUGGGUUUGUUUGGUUUAUUGUUGAAAUCCCAAGAAAGAACUUUCAUUUGCAGCUGACUUGGCUGAGCCGGUGGACAAGAUUUCAGGAAGGAACUAAGCUCUGAGCUUUACUGAUAGGCUGGUAUGGAAAACCUUUCUGGACUCCUUAAAUAUAUCCUUCAAGAUUUUGACAUUUCUCUGAUUGGAACUGACAAAUAGAUCUUGGUAGGCCAAAGGUUCCACCCUUCACUCUAAAGCUAAGUUGGAAUCUCACUCUGUUGCCCAGGCUGGAGUACAAUGGCAC